RNAcentral lists this ribosomal RNA (484 nucleotides) under uncultured bacterium. Its description in RNAcentral is "partial 16S ribosomal RNA". It matches the Rfam family "Bacterial small subunit ribosomal RNA", at positions 30 to 507 of the family's 1533-position model. The record is from RNAcentral.
AUUGAACGCUGGCGGCAGGCCUAACACAUGCAAGUCGAGCGGAUGAAGGGUGCUUGCUCCUGGAUUCAGCGGCGGACGGGUGAGUAAUGCCUAGGAAUCUGCCUGGUAGUGGGGGAUAACGUCCGGAAACGGGCGCUAAUACUGCAUACGUCCUGAGGGAGAAAGUGGGGGAUGUUCGGACCUCACGCUAUCAGAUGAGCCUAGGCCGGAUUAGCUAGUUGGUGGGGUAAAGGCCUACCAAGGCGACGAUCCGUAACUGGUCUGAGAGGAUGAUCAGUCACACUGGAGCUGAGACACGGUCCAGGCUCCUACGAGAGGCAGCAGUGGGGAAUAUUGGACAGUGGGCGAAAGCCUGAUCCAGCCGUGCCACGUGUGUGAAGAAGGUCUUCGGAGUGUAAAGCACUUUAAGUUGGGAGGAAGGGCAGUAAGUUAAUACCUAGCUGUAUUGACGGUACCAACAGAAUAAGCACCGGCUAACUACGUG